CCCUGGUUAGCUCAGUUGGUAGAGCGCUCCACUUGUAAUGGAGAGGUCCCGGGUUCAAUACCCGGACCAGGCG
Non-coding RNA from Ixodes scapularis (black-legged tick), 73 nucleotides. NCBI's taxonomy places the organism in Eukaryota, Metazoa, Arthropoda, Arachnida, Ixodida, Ixodidae. The record is from Rfam.